CAGCUGGGACUCUGUGCUGUGGCAGCCUAAGCGAACCUCUUCACGGGCUAAUGACAAUUGCAGGCAUUGUUGGGCUGUGUCCUAAGGUGAAUCAACAUAAAGAAAAGCCCUGGCUGCUCGUGCACUGAUAACUUCAUCUUUUCGGACAUCUGGGAACUACCGCCACAAUGUCUGGAAAAAAAAUGACUUCAAACUAAUGCAGCAGAGGCAAACCAUGGUUUGGCCAAAAAUGGAACAGAAUUUACAAGGGAAAAGGGAAGUUCCUGGAGUAAUAUGUGUAGGUCAGAUGAGGAUGGAACUGGUGAAUGAGCAGAAGAGAAGGUUGGAAGAGUGCAGUGGUGAUGACAGCCCUCCGCUGCUCCUUCCCCAGAGGAAGGAGCUCCAGUCCAUCCAAUUCCAAGCUCAUACUUCUUC
Molecule: long non-coding RNA, 414 nt
Filed under: Homo sapiens (human)
Lineage: Eukaryota; Metazoa; Chordata; Mammalia; Primates; Hominidae
Description: HSALNT0296714
Source: RNAcentral